GUUGCCAGCAUUAUUGGGCACUCUAAGGGGACUGCCGGUGAUAAGCCGAGAGAAGUGGGGAUGACGUCAAGUCCUCAUGGCCUUACGGGCUGGGCUACACACGUGCUACAAUGGUGGUGACAGUGGGCAGCGAGCACGCGAGUGUGAGCUAAUCUCCAAAAGCCAUCUCAGUUCGGAUUGCACUCUGCAACUCGAGUGCAUGAAGUUGGAAUCGCUAGUAAUCGCGGAUCAGCAUGCCGCGGUGAAUACGUUCCCGGGCCUU
Molecule: ribosomal RNA, 262 nt
Filed under: uncultured Rhizobiaceae bacterium
Lineage: Bacteria; Pseudomonadati; Pseudomonadota; Alphaproteobacteria; Hyphomicrobiales; Rhizobiaceae
Description: partial 16S ribosomal RNA
Rfam family: Bacterial small subunit ribosomal RNA
Source: RNAcentral